AUUUCAUAAUAGAAUAAACCAGUAUCUCCACCAUGAAUAUAUCCAAUUCAGGGUCCUGUAAGUGACCACCAAUGUCACAGUAUUUCCAACUCUUGCUGCAUCAUUCAUAUAGCAACAGUGCACUUGCAUAUACAGUUUUGCUGUCUCAAAUAGAUAUAAAUUCAAAUACCACCAUGGCAUAUUUUUGGAUAAAAGAAAAGCACUGCUAAAGGACACAGACCUUUCACACUUUAAGAGGUUUCCAGCUUAAUGUGAUAAAGUUUAUCCCUUCCCUACUGACCUCUUUAAUACCUACCAUAAUCUUUCUGUGCAAAGAAUGUGUCUGCAAAAUUUUUUAUCUUAGAAAACAUCUCUGAAUAAAUGCUUUUCUUUCCACAGAUGAACACUUUGAAUUUGAUUGUGACAGGUGACUGGAGACACAAACAUGAGAAAUUUUAAGAUGGUUUUUGUGAGCCUUUGUAUUACUAAUUUGUAUAUAAAAACUUAUUCCAUACUCAAUUUUUAUCUAUCAUAUUUCUCUCUAUAUAUAUGCAUAUAAAAAUAUAAUAAUAUUUUCCAAGCAUUAAAUUAAUAUUGAAAUAUAAGACUGUAUGAAGUUUAGGAGUAAUAUUUUUUUUUCCAGAUUGUAUUGUCACAUAUCCAUCUGCACUGAUUCUGCUAGUAAGUGCUUGAAGGAGAAGAAUACUCCUGUUUGGAGCUGAUUAAUGCUCCAUGUUGCAAACCAGACAUUGCUGAAUGACAGAAGGCUUUCCCUCCCUGUGACCAGACAGAAAAUUCUGCCUGCAUGAGAAAAUGUUGGCUAUUUUAUUUCUCCUGAAAACAGAGAUCCCCCUUGCACAUCUCCUGUGCAGACAUUGAACAGAUCCAACCCUGCUGAGGGAACAGCAUAACUCUAAUUCCAACACCGGAAUGGCUACUGGACGAGCUGCUGGGCACAUGCUGAGCGAAGUUUCACUUGGCUACCAAGAAAAAAGGAAGAGAGGACAAACUCCAGUACGGUUUAUUGCAGUCAAAUAACUUUAAGGCUGCAUUUUGAUGCAAACUCUGAACUGGGACGCUGUGACACCAUCUGUGAAGGGAGCUGUCCUGCUUGCCCCCUGCUACCCACUUUGGUGCCUGAAGUCAGCCGCUCAUGGUGGUCGGGGACAGAACUGGCUUGGGAAAACGGUGUGCCUGGAAAACAAUCCCUUUGUUGUUUACUGGGGUACUUUGCAGGCAGAUCACUUUACUCAUCUGCUCCCCUGGAAGGGUUCAGAAAUGUUUGUCCUGGCACACAGGCAGCAGAGGAGGUGGGGGAGACAGGGUUGUUGCUCCCCACACGCACGGCCAGUUUAACAUACUUGCACCACAGUCCAAAUAAAAACCCAAACCGCAUGCUGGGCACAAAUGAGAACUUGGGAUUGUGUUUCUGCACUUUUCCCUUCCUGCCUUGCUUGGCUCCCAGUGUUGCAAAUCGCUGGCGUGUGCCAUUGAAGUGGAUGCACAGAUUUCCCCGCUUUGCCGAGCUCCGGGAACGCCAGGGCACACCAGCCCUAACUGGGUCAGAGACUUUCUUUGUACAAGUGAGCUGAGCUGCUGGGAAACCUCGCAGAGCCAUGAAGCAGCUUCUCACACAUGCAGUGGGGGGGACGGGGUGAGGAGGGGGAGUGGAUGAAGUGGGGCUCAGCUUCCACCACACUUGAUUCCCUGCCAGCAUAAGCUUCCUUCCAGGGCUUACAGGCACGGCACAAGCCCGAGUAAAGCCCCAGCUGCUCCCACGGCUGCCAGGGCUAAGCACCCUGGAAUCAGAGCACGGCCACCAAGCCCAGCAUC
Long non-coding RNA from Parus major (Great Tit), 1812 nucleotides. RefSeq lists it as uncharacterized. The transcript has 3 exons. The record is from RefSeq and is a predicted model, not a curated record. NCBI's taxonomy places the organism in Eukaryota, Metazoa, Chordata, Aves, Passeriformes, Paridae.